CACUUUUUAGGAUUUUUUUUAUAGCCAAAUUUACUUAGACUGAAGUGAAUUUAGGAAGCUUUGAUGACAAGUGUUUUCUAGUUAACAUGUUAGUCUAAAUGCUGAGCUUUUUUAACUGAUACAUUUUUUUUUUUAACUACAGUCACUUUAAGUUCAUUAAAAUUGUAAUGUUUUACAUAAUUCUUGAACUGUGUUGUUCUUCUGCAGCUGCUGGGAAUGCUAAGAAUAAGCCUUUCUUGUUAACCAAUCUGGAUCAAAAUUCUCAGCGCAUCAUUGUAAGUUUGUCAACAUAUACGUCCAAAACUAAAUGUCUCUUUCAAAAUUUAAUUGUGAUAAUAUUUCUUAAAAAUUACUGUAGAAGGGACCUAUGAUUGUGGUGAACUUAACCCAUGGAAUUGGUAGUCUGCUCU
This 410-nucleotide unclassified non-coding RNA is filed under the name Hevea brasiliensis (rubber tree). The record is from RNAcentral. Lineage: Eukaryota; Viridiplantae; Streptophyta; Magnoliopsida; Malpighiales; Euphorbiaceae.